This is a long non-coding RNA of Gasterosteus aculeatus aculeatus (three-spined stickleback), 3319 nucleotides long. The record is from Ensembl. NCBI's taxonomy places the organism in Eukaryota, Metazoa, Chordata, Actinopteri, Perciformes, Gasterosteidae.
CAUGGCGGGGUCAUGGUAUGGCCAUGGCGGGGUCAUGGUAGGGUCAUGGUAUGGUCAUGGUAGGGUUAUGGUAUGGUCAUGGUCAUGGCAGGGUCAUGGCAUGGUCAUGGUAUGGUCAUGGUCAUGGCGGGGUCAUGGUAGGGUCAUGGUAUGGUCAUGGUCAUGGCGGGGUCACGGUAGGGUCAUGGUAUGGUCAUGGUCAUGGCAGGGUCAUGGCAGGCUCAGGUCAGUGAUUGUCUUGUAUCAGUCGGGAUUGGUUGUCUCUGGUUCGCUACGGCUGCAGAUGAAGAGGAUCUCACGGAGCUUUGAAGGGUCUUCUAGAGAGGCCGGUCCAUGAGCUGUUUGCUCCGCUCAGUUGGUUCCAGUGAAUCAACUCUACUUGUGUCGGGUCAUGAAACACAGAUGUGCAGGCUGGAAUAAAGGGGGGAAUCCCCAAAACGCCUAAAUGAAAACCAACUUCAGUUCCACUUGUUUUGAAUCACAAAAACAGACGUCUUGGCUUCAUUUCCUUGGUUUCCUUGUCUCCUAUGUGAGGACGGAGGCUCAACAUUAACUCCAGUGUUUCCCCAUAGUUUACAACUUCAGGGGGGGUAGUCGGGCAAAUUGUAACAGGGUGCCCCCCUGUUACAAUGGGAGGGGAAACACUGAACUCCAUGAUAAUGAUCCGGCUCCACGUAGAGCGGAUGUAAGUUCGUCUGUACUCUCAAAGGAGACAUUUUUAUUAUUCAGAGCAUUUUGAAGAGAACUGAGGCAGCAGAACUUCCUUGUUUGUCUGACAUAUUUUGGCAAUAAAUGUUUCCUGAUUCCUGAGGACGAUUAGUGUCUCCAGAUUAGUUUCUAUACGAAUCCCUCGUCUUCUUCAAUACAGCAUGAUGUCCAUCUAGUAAAUGAUGACGUCUGAACACACGAGGACACACAGACGGCUCCCAAGGCGAGGACAGUGACCUCUGCUUAAUGAAUCAACCAAAGCCUCUAAUUGGCCGGUUAAGGUCCCUGUCAAGUCCCGCCUCCUGGCAUCACACACACACACACAGCUCUUCACACAUGCUGUAUAUGAAUCAUUGCAGCUGCAGGGACUUCAUGUCCUUCGCCCAGGUGUGUCGGUGUGGAGAGACGUCCUGGCCCCCGUAACCCUGUCAGGGUGGAGCAGCUGACGGAGAAGAGGAGGUUGACCGUUGUAGACCAGAAACCAGGAGGGACCAGGAUGGCCCGGGUCCACCAGAGAGACCAGACAAACCUUUUCACUGUCACAGAGGAAGGUCAAAUGUGUGUGUGUGUGUGUGUGUGUGUGUGUCCCGGGGAGAUUUAAAGUGUGUGUUGCGGAGCCUUAAAUAAACACCAGCCUGGUAAUGUAUAUUGAAUAUCAAAACCUUCCUAUGCGUUGUGCUCUCAGGUUUGUGUGUGUUUGUGUGUGUUUGUGCGUGCUGUUGUCACGGAGACGUGGUUGUGGACAAGCUCUUGUUGUGAUUCCUCAGGAGAGCCGGACAGAAGGAUUAUGAGACAGGAAAGUGACACCCGUAAAAGACACAAUAAAAGCCCCAGAAUGCCGAUAAAACCCGUUAAACCUGAUAAAACCCCUUUAGAAGUCCAGAAUACUAAAAAACACAAAAAGGUCAGAAGCAGCUGAUGACUUGAGGUCAACUGAGACGAGCAGGAGGAUUAUGGUGAUGAAGGUCUCCUCUCUCUCUCCUUGUUUUUACUACAACGCUCUCUGUGAAUGUAAGACACACUCACACACACACACACACACACACACCCUGACACGUGUGUGUCGUCUGUUUCAUUUCCUGACUCACUAUCGUUUUUCUCUGCAGUCGUCAAAAUAGGAUUAGAGCGUUUAAUAAAGGAUGAUUCCCACCAUGAGGAAAUGACUCCACUGUACAACACACACACAGACACACACACACACACACACACACACACACACACACACACACACACACACCUCAGCGUCUUCACUGCUCAGCCACUCAGUUUCCACCAGGUUAUUAAACACCUGAAGGCUUAUAUAAGCUUGCAUACAUACACACGGAUGCUACUGCUCCUCCACACACGCUGCAGCCUCACCCUCCAUGAAUGUGGUGGUGGUGUGUGGUGUUAGGUGGUGUUUGGUGGUGUGUGGUGUUAGGUGGUGUUUGGUGGUGUGUGGUGUUAGGUGGUGUUUGGUGGUGUGUGGUGUUAGGUGGUGUUAGGUGGUGUGUGGUGUUAGGUGGUGAUGGGUGGUGUGGUGGUGUUAGGUGGUGUUGGGUGGUGUGGUGGUGUUAUGUGGUGUGAUGUGGUGAUGGGUGGUGUGGUGGUGUUAGGUGGUGAUGGGUGGUGUGGUGGUGUGUGGUGAUGGGUGGUGUGUGGUGAUGGGUGGUGUAGUGCUGGGUUUCUGGUGACCCCGUGUGAUCGUGGGAGGGGGUUCGGUGUCUCCAUGUGACUGGAGACCAGUUUCUAAACAGGAAGUCAACAUGACGUCAGCAGAUUUCUACUGAUUCAAACAGUCAAUUAAGAACAACGGGGAGAAGAUGUGUGUCAUUGUUUGUUGUGUAUCUCUGUUCCCAGUGACUUAAGUUGGUUUGGUGUGACACACACACACACACACACUCACACACACACUCACACACACAGUCACACACACACUCACACACACAUGCAGGUGGUGUGCGAUCCGAUCCGUCUGAUUGGACAUGGAGGGUUUUCCUCGUGAGGCGGAUCGUUCCCAGACAGGAAGUGCUGAGGGAGAAAGAUAAGAGAGCGGGAGGAAGGGGAAGAAGAUCUUCAUCAUCACAGCAGCUGGACCAAGUGGACCUUCCAGACCUGAGGGUCUCCUGCCUGAGGAACGUCCCUGAGGGAACACCUGACACCUGAAACCAAUUACAUCUUUUUCACAUUUUGCCCGGGGAGCAAUUAGGGGUCAGAUGUCUUGCUCAGGGACACUUCAACAUGGAACAUGGGGCAGCCUGGAAUCGAACCACCAACCUUGUGCUUCCCAGCACACCUUCUCUAACCCCGGCGCCACGACGACCCCCAAAUGAGAGUAGAGAGCAAAGUGCACGAGGACGACAGGAAGAGUCCAACAUGUUCACACUGAAAUAACCUUAAACAACAGUGUCGAUUACACACAUUCUUACGUGCUAAUAGACUUUCUCUGCAGAGUUUUAGAUGUAGAUGUUUCUCCGUCUGACCAUCUGUGUGUGUGUUUGUUUUGUAAUGUUUGUACCGUAUUAAAUCACAAUAACAAUAAGACACACUGAACUGUUGACUGGCCGCUUGUUGGUUCCAUUUACACACCAGCCGGGGUUUUCUUUGUCUUCAUCUUGUUCAUCUUAGUUUA